Molecule: ribosomal RNA, 463 nt
Filed under: Arthrobacter globiformis
Lineage: Bacteria; Bacillati; Actinomycetota; Actinomycetes; Micrococcales; Micrococcaceae
Description: bacterial SSU rRNA
Rfam family: Bacterial small subunit ribosomal RNA
Source: RNAcentral
GGAUUAUUGGGGCGUAAAGAGCUCGUAGGCGGUUUGUCGCGUCUGCCGUGAAAGUCCGGGGCUCAACUCCGGAUCUGCGGUGGGUACGGGCAGACUAGAGUGAUGUAGGGGAGACUGGAAUUCCUGGUGUAGCGGUGAAAUGCGCAGAUAUCAGGAGGAACACCGAUGGCGAAGGCAGGUCUCUGGGCAUUAACUGACGCUGAGGAGCGAAAGCAUGGGGAGCGAACAGGAUUAGAUACCCUGGUAGUCCAUGCCGUAAACGUUGGGCACUAGGUGUGGGGGACAUUCCACGUUUUCCGCGCCGUAGCUAACGCAUUAAGUGCCCCGCCUGGGGAGUACGGCCGCAAGGCUAAAACUCAAAGGAAUUGACGGGGGCCCGCACAAGCGGCGGAGCAUGCGGAUUAAUUCCAUGCAACGCGAAGAACCUUACCAAGGCUUGACAUGGACCGGAGGGGCGCAGAAA